Molecule: ribosomal RNA, 639 nt
Filed under: uncultured Actinomycetes bacterium
Lineage: Bacteria; Bacillati; Actinomycetota; Actinomycetes
Description: bacterial SSU rRNA
Rfam family: Bacterial small subunit ribosomal RNA
Source: RNAcentral
CGCGGCCUAUCAGCUUGUUGGUGAGGUAAUGGCUCACCAAGGCAUCGACGGGUAGCUGGUCUGAGAGGACGAUCAGCCACACUGGGACCGAGACACGGCCCAGAUUCCUACGGGAGGCAGCAGUAGGGAAUCUUGCGCAAUGGGGGAAACCCUGACGCAGCAACGCCGCGUGUGGGAUGACGGCUUUCGGGUUGUAAACCACUUUCAGUGAUGACGAAAAUGACGGUAAUCACAGAAGAAGGUCCGGCCAACUACGUGCCAGCAGCCGCGGUAACACGUAGGGACCGAGCGUUGUCCGGAAUUAUUGGGCGUAAAGAGCUCGUAGGCGGUUCAGUAAGUCGGGUGUGAAAACUCAAGGCUCAACCUUGAGACGCCACUCGAUACUGCUGUGACUUGAGUCCGGUAGAGGAGUGUGGAAUUCCUGGUGUGGCGGUGAAAUGCGCAGAUAUCAGGAGGAACACCAGCGGCGAAGGCGGCACUCUGGGCCGGUACUGACGCUGAGGAGCGAAAGCAUGGGGAGCAAACAGGAUUAGAUACCCUGGUAGUCCAUGCCGUAAACGUUGGGCACUAGGUAUGGGACCAUAUCAACGGGUUCCGUGCCGUAGCUAACGCAUUAAGUGCCCCGCCUGGGGAGUACGG